RNAcentral lists this ribosomal RNA (558 nucleotides) under Cutibacterium acnes. RNAcentral's name for it is "bacterial SSU rRNA". It matches the Rfam family "Bacterial small subunit ribosomal RNA", at positions 8 to 577 of the family's 1533-position model. The record is from RNAcentral. Lineage: Bacteria; Bacillati; Actinomycetota; Actinomycetes; Propionibacteriales; Propionibacteriaceae.
AGAGUUUGAUCCUGGCUCAGGACGAACGCUGGCGGCGUGCUUAACACAUGCAAGUCGAACGGAAAGGCCCUGCUUUUGUGGGGUGCUCGAGUGGCGAACGGGUGAGUAACACGUGAGUAACCUGCCCUUGACUUUGGGAUAACUUCAGGAAACUGGGGCUAAUACCGGAUAGGAGCUCCUGCUGCAUGGUGGGGGUUGGAAAGUUUCGGCGGUUGGGGAUGGACUCGCGGCUUAUCAGCUUGUUGGUGGGGUAGUGGCUUACCAAGGCUUUGACGGGUAGCCGGCCUGAGAGGGUGACCGGCCACAUUGGGACUGAGAUACGGCCCAGACUCCUACGGGAGGCAGCAGUGGGGAAUAUUGCACAAUGGGCGGAAGCCUGAUGCAGCAACGCCGCGUGCGGGAUGACGGCCUUCGGGUUGUAAACCGCUUUCGCCUGUGACGAAGCGUGAGUGACGGUAAUGGGUAAAGAAGCACCGGCUAACUACGUGCCAGCAGCCGCGGUGAUACUUAGGGUGCGAGCGUUGUCCGGAUUUAUUGGGCGUAAAGGGCUCGUAGGUG